GAUGAACGCUGGCGGCGUGCCUAAUACAUGCAAGUCGAGCGAACAGACGAGGAGCUUGCUCCUCUGACGUUAGCGGCGGACGGGUGAGUAACACGUGGAUAACCUACCUAUAAGACUGGGAUAACUUCGGGAAACCGGAGCUAAUACCGGAUAAUAUAUUGAACCGCAUGGUUCAAUAGUGAAAGACGGUUUUGCUGUCACUUAUAGAUGGAUCCGCGCCGCAUUAGCUAGUUGGUAAGGUAACGGCUUACCAAGGCAACGAUGCGUAGCCGACCUGAGAGGGUGAUCGGCCACACGGGAACGUAGACACGGUCCAGACUACUACGGGAGGCAGCAGUAGGGAAUCUUACGCAAUGGGCGAAAGCCUGACGGAGCAACGCCGCGUGAGUGAUGAAGGUCUUCGGAUCGUAAAACUCUGUUAUUAGGGAAGAACAAAUGUGUAAGUAACUAUGCACGUCUUGACGGUACCUAAUCAGAAAGCCACGGCUAACUACGUG
RNAcentral lists this ribosomal RNA (497 nucleotides) under uncultured bacterium. Its description in RNAcentral is "partial 16S ribosomal RNA". It matches the Rfam family "Bacterial small subunit ribosomal RNA", at positions 28 to 507 of the family's 1533-position model. The record is from RNAcentral.